RNAcentral lists this long non-coding RNA (1387 nucleotides) under Zea mays. Its description in RNAcentral is "long non-coding RNA (ZMAY_LNC003455)". The record is from RNAcentral. Lineage: Eukaryota; Viridiplantae; Streptophyta; Magnoliopsida; Poales; Poaceae.
AAUUUGGUUUACUCACGCCAGGUGCCGUCUACAGGAGAUUGUCUAGCUUUGUUCUCAUGCCAUUCGUGAACUAGAUCGUGUGGAGGCAUUCAUGGGUGCAUGUUUGUUUACCAUUCAGUUUGCAGGUAUGGCCUCUUUAGAGAACUCUAGAAUCUUCAUAUUUUUAUUUUGAUUAGUGCCCUUCUUUUCAAUAUUCAUGGUGUCUUUUUCGUAUAUAACAUGAUACAAAUUACAUUCAUGUCGUUUCUUUUAUUUUUCAAUUAUUUUUUGAACUAUAAAUCUAUAUAUGCAGUAAAUGAUUGAUGAGUGCAUUUUGCUUGUUGGUUGUCUGUAUACACACUUAUGCAGAUUUGCACGGUGCUCAAAACAGGCCCAAUGCAAGUUGUGUGCUUCAAUUUUUCUUUGUUCUACCAAGUCAGUUUUAAUUCCCCAAGCUGAUUGUUUGGAUCACAAGUUUUAUCGAGAACGAGAUUUAGUUAAAGGAGAUUUGAGGCUAACUACUUAACACUCCGUUUGGAUAGAUAGUGGAAAACGUGACUAACAAAAAGAACGAUUUCACUACACUCCUACCUGGUCUUUACAAACCAAAUUCCCAUGCCUCCUUUUUUGUGUCACAUCCUUGUUUUUUGGUUCUUCCUUCUAACAUGAGAGAAAAAUGAUUUGAUGUGAUGUAAUAGAUCUCCACAAAUAGUCUAAUCUGAAUAUAAAAAACACAGAUAAGUUGUGGUAGUCACCCCCUAAUAACUGAUUUCUUAGAGUUGCUCAUGAGUUGAUUCAGAGUUUCCCUGUAUCUACAUGUUCUAUAAGAUAUGGUCAAUUGCAGUCUUAGCAAUGAGUUUCCUUGUAUCUACAUGUUCUAUGUGAUCAAUGGUUCUGGGAAGAUAGAAAUGAAUGUUUUGGAAAAGCUUUUGCCUUGAGGAGCCAUUCCUGUUAUUGUCUCAGGUAUACAGACUCAAAGGUUCCUUUGGACUGAUUACACAGGAUAUACAUGCUUUGGAAUAGCAUCAAUAUUAUUAUUGGCAUAUCAAGGCAUGUGUAGGCAUAGUAUCUCAAUGUCCUUCCCAGGUGCCAACCUCAUUCCAUUCUCCACCUGAUCAGUACACACAUGCUCUGUUUACAAUUUGAAUUAGUCACAUUUUAGAACAUGACAGAUUUCACAUGAUUUAAAAAAUGAAAGAGAAACUACCUCUGUAUGUUUGAAACGUUUCCACUAACUCAUUGCCGACUUAUGUUUCUGGUGUAGGCUGAUUGUCACUGCAGGGGAUGAGACAGGCGUACGAUAUAUAUACACAUAUAUUCAUUUGUCUUCAUUUAUGUGAUACUUGUGCUGUCUCAAGGAAUCUGUAUGGCGCCCGAGAGGGUGCUACUGAUUCUAGUAGUCUUUAAU